This 440-nucleotide ribosomal RNA is filed under the name uncultured bacterium. Its description in RNAcentral is "partial 16S ribosomal RNA". It matches the Rfam family "Bacterial small subunit ribosomal RNA", at positions 338 to 795 of the family's 1533-position model. The record is from RNAcentral.
CCUACGGGUGGCAGCAGUGGGGGAUAUUGCUCAAUGGGGGGAACCCUGAUGCAGCGACGCCGCGUGGGUGAUGGAGGGCUUCGGCAUGUAAACCCCUAUUGGUAGGGAAGAAGAUGACGGUAUCUGACCAAGAAGCACCGGCUAACUACGUGCCAGCAGCCGCGGUAAUACGGAGGGGGCAAGCGUUACUCGGAAUCACUGGGCGUAAAGGGGGCGUAGGCGGGAUAGCAAGUCAGGUGUGAAAGCCUAUGGCUUAACCACAGAACUGCACUUGAAACUGGAAGGCUAGAGUAUGGGAGAGGCAGGUGGAAUUCCUGGUGUAGGGGUAAAAUGCGUAGAUAUUAAGAGGAACACCCAUUGCGAAGGCGACCUGCUGGACCAUAACUGACGUUGAGGCGCGAAAGCGUGGGGAGCAAACAGGAUUAGAUACCCGAGUAGUC